This 127-nucleotide small nucleolar RNA is filed under the name Cicer arietinum (chickpea). Its description in RNAcentral is "Small nucleolar RNA SNORA69". It matches the Rfam family "Small nucleolar RNA SNORA69". Rfam says of the family: U69 is a member of the H/ACA class of small nucleolar RNAs (snoRNAs) which act as guides in the the modification of uridines to pseudouridines. Lineage: Eukaryota; Viridiplantae; Streptophyta; Magnoliopsida; Fabales; Fabaceae. The record is from Rfam by way of RNAcentral.
AUGGGUGGGCAUAUUACAGCGCUUUUGUGAGAAAGCGCUGUAAUAUGCCACCCAUAUAUGAGUUAUGGGUGUGCAUUUUAGAGCGCUUUUUUGAGAAAGCGCUGUAAAAUGCACACCCAUAACUCAU